GCCGGGGAGAAGGAGCGGUGACGGACCGCGCGCCCAGGGGGACUGGGAGGCUGCGCUGGGCCCCGGGCAGGGGUAAAGUUUCCUUGUCCGCCCGGGGUUCCAGACGUGCCUGAGUCAGGGAUGGGGACCUCGGGGUCACUGCGUGCGACUGGGGGGUCCCGGAGCGGGUCUGACCUCCCUCCCCACAUCUCCAGCCUGGGCGCCCGCUGCCUGCUUGGAGGGGUGGGGGCGCGUCUAGGGGAUCCGGCUCAAGGAGAGGCGCCCCUAGCACAUCUGGGUUACUCCAUCGCGCCAGCCGGUGUCUGCAGCCUGAAAAUCUCUGGUCUUGUUCUCCCGCUAGCCGUUCAGGACUCUCUCCGCCUGCAGCCCCCGCCUCCCCCCGUACCUCCGCCAGGAUCCAAGAGGCGUCCAGAGGGGAGCCCAGGCCCUGCGCCCGCCUUCUGGUGAGGAAGAUCCCCUCCCCCUCAAGGUCCAGCCUGGGGUCAGGGUCUGUCGGCCCCCACCCCUUGCGUGGCCUGCGAGCCCCGUGGACUUCGUGGCAUGAAGUCACGCCCCCAUCCCCCCUGCAGUGGGUGAGGGCGUGUAACAGAGCGUCUCCCCGGCCGGGUGCUUGGAGAGCAGACCCGAGGCGCCCCUGGCCUGGCAUUGAACAAUACGGGUCGCCCCCGGAGGUGGCGCACGGUCCCCAGGGAAGGGCCCCGCCCUCAGGUGGGUGGCGAGGUGGCCGCCCACAGAGUAGCAGGUGCGUUGGAGGAGGGGCGCCUUGUGCGGCUGAACUUCGCGUGCAGGAGGAGAGGGCACUGGCUCUGCGGAAACAUCAGACCCGGCCAUCCCUGCAGCCGCGCCCCUGGCCCAGCCUCAGGCUCAGCCGCUGGGACACAGCCCCCGAAAACGGAGACUUCCGUCGUCGGUAAUGGAGGGCAGAGCAGAAGGGGCUGGAGAGGUCCUGAGGCCCUCCGCUUUCACGCCCCUCCCUCCAAGGCUGCAGGUCGGGCGAUGGAGCUGUCAGUCAGGAGUUCCCUGGAGCAACCCCCACUCCAGUACAGGCCUCUGGAGCCUUACAGCUCCCUUCCUAUCGACUCUCCCAUCUCCUCUGUCCCCACCCCGCACCUUCCUUCUCCUCCUCCUCCCAGCUUCUCUGAGCAGCCACUGCUCCUGCCCACCUGCCUCUCCCCUCUCUGCCCACCUCUCCUACACUCCUGAUUCCAGGUUGAGCUCAUGGCUCCUCAUACACCUGCUCUGGGACGGGCAGGAGCUCCUCCUCACUGGCUGGAGCUGUCUGUCCGCUCUGUGGGCAGUGCCUGCAAUUAGAGCUUUCAGAAUGCACAGCUGCUGCGCAGUGGCCGGUUCCGCGACAACACCUGGCCUGCUUCUGUGGCCCUCCCAGUGCUGCUGGCCCAAGCAAGCUGGAUGCAGGGACCCCCUGCACUUCCACGGCCCCCUCAAGGCCCAGGCUUCCACAGGGUCUAGCGGUCUCAAGCCUGCGGCUCUCCCUGGUGGAUUCCCGCAGCCCCUCCCUUCCACCUGCGCCCGCUGGAGAGCGCUGGUUGUGGGAACCCAGUAA
This 1564-nucleotide long non-coding RNA is filed under the name Macaca nemestrina (pig-tailed macaque). Its description in RNAcentral is "lncRNA (ENSMNEG00000045729.1)". The record is from RNAcentral. Lineage: Eukaryota; Metazoa; Chordata; Mammalia; Primates; Cercopithecidae.